RNAcentral lists this long non-coding RNA (534 nucleotides) under Pogonomyrmex barbatus (red harvester ant). RNAcentral describes it as "uncharacterized LOC105426078, transcript variant X2". Lineage: Eukaryota; Metazoa; Arthropoda; Insecta; Hymenoptera; Formicidae. The record is from RNAcentral.
CUAUUGCGCAUGCGUUAGAAAAUCCAGCGAUGCAGCUCUGCAUGCUUCUACGUCUAGAGACUCUUUCUUUUCUGUUCCUGCUUCUUGUGCGGAUGCACGUGAGAAAGCAUCCUUUUUGUGAUUUCUCUCAAGAAAGCCAUGAGGUAUAACGAUUCCAAAUACUUAGAAAAUUAUCUGAAACUCUGGACACUUGCUCCGGACAUUUCCAGACGUCGUAAAAAAGAGGAUGGAUAGCAACCCUAGGUUGUAAAUCUUGAGGAAAAUGGCAUUUUUUAAAUUGAUUGAAGGUUAUAUUGAAGGGGGAAAUCUGGAAAGAAUAAAUCUUGAAAUGGGAAAAUUGUAUCUUGAGAUUCAAUAAAAGGUUAUCUUGAAGAAAAUAGCAUCUUGAGAUUCAAUAAAGGUCUAGACAUAGGGCUUGAGCGAGUGGGAUACAGAAUGAAUCGUUCUUCUAGAACGCAAAAUGGCAAAUUAUAUGUAAUAAUCCGUAUAUUAAAAAAAAUUUUAUAUUAAAUUAAAUAUAUAUCGAGGAAAAUU